GGGGCAAAACGUUCUAUCGCUUCGUUCAGUCGAAGAGGAAAGUCCGGGCAACACAGAGUAUCCUGCUUCUUAACGGGAAGGCGCCGUCAGCCGGCGACAGCAAGUGCCACAGAGAAUAUACCGCCUGCUUGCAGGUAAGGGUGAAAACGUGAGGUAAGAGCUCACGGCUUUCCCGGGUGACCGGGAUCGCGGUAAACCUCAGGAGUUGAAAAACCAAAUAGGUCCUGGAUCGGAAGUUACUCGCUUUUGACCCAUUUAGAUGAGUCGCCAGGAUGGGUAGGUUGCUCAAGCUUGUCAGCAAUGGCAGGAUUAGAUUAAUGAUAGAAACCGCUUUCGGGCGGCACAGAACCCGGCUUACAGGUUUGCUGCUGAA
This 373-nucleotide RNase P RNA is filed under the name Mucilaginibacter tundrae. RNAcentral's name for it is "Mucilaginibacter sp. E4BP6 Bacterial RNase P class A". It matches the Rfam family "Bacterial RNase P class A". Rfam says of the family: Ribonuclease P (RNase P) is a ubiquitous endoribonuclease, found in archaea, bacteria and eukarya as well as chloroplasts and mitochondria. Its best characterised activity is the generation of mature 5'-ends of tRNAs by cleaving the 5'-leader elements of precursor-tRNAs. The record is from Rfam by way of RNAcentral. Lineage: Bacteria; Pseudomonadati; Bacteroidota; Sphingobacteriia; Sphingobacteriales; Sphingobacteriaceae.